Molecule: long non-coding RNA, 391 nt
Organism: Trichomycterus rosablanca
Lineage: Eukaryota; Metazoa; Chordata; Actinopteri; Siluriformes; Trichomycteridae
Exons: 3
Source: RefSeq, a predicted model, not a curated record
GACGCAGAUCAAUGAUGUAUUUAUAACAGCGCUUAUAACAGUAGUAGUCUUAUAAUCCAAAAGUCUUAUUCUCGACUGGGCAAAGAAGACGGAGAAUAUGAUAUAAAGUGACCAACUGGGUGAGAAAGACGAGAGGAUAUUUUUGUAAGGCUACUUUGACUGCAGACUGCGCAUCCGAAGACCACGUGAUCCAGAGAGGCCGCGACCUGUCAAUCACCGGCUCUGUGAUGCUGGUGAGGAAGCCUGCAGCAUGCCCAAACCCAUUACAGAGUGAAGCACGACUCAGGCAAGAGUACUGCAAUAUUUCACCAAUUGCACUGCCUUCCCAUCAUGCUUUGUAGUGUUUUCUGCACAUUUGACAGCGCUCAAAUAAAGAGAUCCUUAAACAGAA